ACUCCUGCGGGAGGCAGCAGUAGGGAAUCUUCCACAAUGGGUGCAAACCUGAUGGAGCAAUGCCGCGUGAGUGAAGAAGGUCUUCGGAUCGUAAAGCUCUGUUGUUAGAGAAGAACACGUGCUAGGUAACUACUAGCGCCUUGACGGUAUCUAACCAGAAAGUCACGGCUAACUACGUGCCAGCAGCCGCGGUAAUACGUAGGUGACAAGCGUUGUCCGGAUUUAUUGGGCGUAAAGGGAGCGCAGGCGGUCUGUUUAGUCUAAUGUGAAAGCCCACGGCUUAACCGUGGAACGGCAUUGGAAACUGACAGACUUGAAUGUAGAAGAGGAAAAUGGAAUUCCAAGUGUAGCGGUGGAAUGCGUAGAUAUUUGGAGGAACACCAGUGGCGAAGGCGAUUUUCUGGUCUAACAUUGACGCUGAGGCUCGAAAGCGUGGGGAGCGAACAGGAUUAGAAACCCUAGUAGUCCCA
Molecule: ribosomal RNA, 470 nt
Filed under: uncultured organism
Description: partial 16S ribosomal RNA
Rfam family: Bacterial small subunit ribosomal RNA
Source: RNAcentral